RNAcentral lists this long non-coding RNA (422 nucleotides) under Brassica napus (rape). RNAcentral's name for it is "long non-coding RNA (BNAP_LNC019658)". Lineage: Eukaryota; Viridiplantae; Streptophyta; Magnoliopsida; Brassicales; Brassicaceae. The record is from RNAcentral.
GAUUGGAGACUAAUUGAUAGCUUUAAACUUGCGACCAGCAAUGAAAGCAGAGGAUAAUGAAUAAGUGAGGAUGAAUGGAAUCGCGUGAUGAUGCAAGUGAAUCAGAAUUGAGGAUCUGUCAGGCAAGUAUUUACUUAUAAAAAGAUUAACGAUACUCUUCUGCUUAAAUAGGAUAGGUUUACAAAAUUAAUAAAUUUUUGCAAAUUAAAUAACCUUGCAGAGAUCAAAGGAGGAGAGGAUGAAUAUUUCCAUUACGCAAAUGAUACAAAGAGAUAAAGUUCCCAAAUGUUAUUAUGGUAUGUACGCAUAGGAGGUAAGAAAUAUGGUGUCAUGUAUUAUCCUUCUUUGUCAAUUCAUUGUGUAUGGUGUUCUGUAUAAGGUUUGGGAAUAAUUUAUGGUUUAUUUGAUUUGCAUGAUUUCAA